CCUACGGGCUGCAGCAGUGGGGAAUAUUGCACAAUGGGGGAAACCCUGAUGCAGCGACGCCGCGUGAGUGAAGAAGUAUUUCGGUACGUAAAGCUCUAUCAGCAGGGCAGAAAAUGACGGUACCUGACUAAGAAGCCCCGGCUAACUACGUGCCAGCAGCCGCGGUAAUACGUAGGGGGCAAGCGUUAUCCGGAUUUACUGGGUGUAAAGGGAGCGUAGACGGCAGCGCAAGUCUGGAGUGAAAUCCCAUGGCUUAACCAUGGAACUGCUUUGGAAACUGUGCAGCUAGAGUGCAGGAGAGGUAAGCGGAAUUCCUAGUGUAGCGGUGAAAUGCGUAGAUAUUAGGAGGAACACCAGUGGCGAAGGCGGCUUACUGGUCUGUAACUGACGUUGAGGCUCGAAAGCGUGGGGAGCAAACAGGAUUAGAUACCCUUGUAGUC
Molecule: ribosomal RNA, 440 nt
Filed under: uncultured bacterium
Lineage: Bacteria
Description: partial 16S ribosomal RNA
Rfam family: Bacterial small subunit ribosomal RNA
Source: RNAcentral